UACGAAGGGCCCGAGCGUUGCGCGGAAUCACUGGGCUUAAAGCGUGCGUAGGCGGACAAGAAGGCGCCUUGUGAAAUCCCCCGGCUCAACCGGGGAAUUGCUUGGUGAACCGCUUGUCUUGAGGCAAGUAGGGGCUGUCGGAACGAUAGGUGGAGCGGUGAAAUGCGUUGAUAUCUAUCGGAACGCCCAAGGCGAAGGCAGGCAGCUGGGCUUGUUCUGACGCUGAGGCACGAAAGCGUGGGGAGCGAACGGG
RNAcentral lists this ribosomal RNA (253 nucleotides) under uncultured bacterium. RNAcentral's name for it is "partial 16S ribosomal RNA". It matches the Rfam family "Bacterial small subunit ribosomal RNA", at positions 524 to 776 of the family's 1533-position model. The record is from RNAcentral.